GAUGAACGCUGGCGGUAUGCUUAACACAUGCAAGUCGAACGGUCACUUCGUUGUUAGUGGCGGACGGGUGAGUAACGCGUGAGAAUCUGUCUUCAGGUCGGGGACAACAGUUAGAAAUGACUGCUAAUACCGGAUGUGCCUUUGGGUGAAAGAUUUAUUGCCUGAAAAAGAGCUCGCGUCAGAUUAGCUAGUAGGUGGUGUAAGAGACUACCUAGGCUCCGAUCUGUAGCUGGUCUGAGAGGACGAUCAGCCACACUGGAACUGAGACACGGUCCAGACUCCGACGGGAGGGAGCAGUGGGGAAUAUUGCGCAAUGGGCGAAGGCCUGACGGAGCAAUACCGCGUGAGGGACGAAGGCUGUUGGGUCGUAAACCUCUUUUCUCAAGGAAGAUGGUGACGGUACUUGAGGAAUAAGCAUCGGCUAACUCCGUG
RNAcentral lists this ribosomal RNA (432 nucleotides) under uncultured bacterium. Its description in RNAcentral is "partial 16S ribosomal RNA". It matches the Rfam family "Bacterial small subunit ribosomal RNA", at positions 28 to 507 of the family's 1533-position model. The record is from RNAcentral.